This 490-nucleotide unclassified non-coding RNA is filed under the name Hevea brasiliensis (rubber tree). Lineage: Eukaryota; Viridiplantae; Streptophyta; Magnoliopsida; Malpighiales; Euphorbiaceae. The record is from RNAcentral.
GCCACCACGUCACCAUCUUGAUCUUCAUUCUGUUUCUUUCUCUGAUGAUGAUUCUGGGAUGUUUUAGGAACUGGGUCAUCGGGGGCUUCCCGUUUCCUAGAAGAAUUGGAAGGUUGUUGAUGAUUGGAAGAGGUGGGAUUACUUGCUCCUACAAGGCUGGUGGAAUCUGCAUUGAAGGUGGUGCUGCUGAGAUUAGUAUUAGUGUUAAUUGGAUCUUGGCAAAUUUCUUCAGUUUGAUUCCACCAUUGAUAGCUAUUUAUAUCAGGGGAGUUGUAAGGAUCAUCCAAGAAGGCAGGCAGGAAUGAUACUGAAUCUUCUAACCAAUCCAAUACAUGAUCUGAGAUGAGGUUUGGUUCUGGUUCUUCAAGAGUCAUUUUGUGCCUGAAAAUGUGUUUUGAGCGUGAGAGAGAAAACUGAGAGAAAUACGAGUAUGAUUUAUGCUUGUUCUUUGACCAAAAACAUAAAGGAUGGAACCACUAGACUUGUGUGC